ACAUCAGUGGACAAUGGCGAAGAUGGGUCAAGAGGCUAGAAGAUUGACAACACUGUUUUGACAUUUACGACAGAAUUCACCAAAGCAGAAGACUCUAAUUGUCAACAUCCACCAGAGACAUCCUGAAACAACAACAUAGUCAAAUAGCGGGAACUUUCCCUUUCCGGAAUUACCUUUGCGUACAUUUUUCUGCUUCCAGAAUAGCAGAAGGGGAAAGAAGGAUAUAUGGUGUGAUGCCAAACACUCCUGGAAAUGGCUGCUGAAGGGCAAAAGGAAUAAAGAUUUUAAAUGGUGAUUACAUAUCUUUUUGGAAACUAUGCUUUUUAACCUGGCUGUUACAUGGCUGCUUCAGAAGCCUUUCAAGUGAUCUUCUCAUCACAGCCAUAAGGGGGUAGCUUGUCAAAAUAAUGAUGGACUUGGGAGCCCUAUCACACAGACCAGUUUUUAAAGGAUUCUAUCGUGCAGGUUAUGCUCUUUAUAAAAAGAAAAACCGGUUAUAGAAUUGAAACCGGAGGGUUCCUUCUCCAUGAACUGACAAUCUAGACAACUGACAACCUGGAGCUUCACAUUAACUUAAUGAAAAUAUGAAGUAAGUAAAAUGCUAAGGGGAUCAGUUCUACCUUCUGCUUUGCCUGCCAUUGCCAAUACAAAUCAAUGGCUUUUGCUAUAUUGCUCCCUAGUCUAUCGAAAUACUAUA
Molecule: long non-coding RNA, 697 nt
Organism: Hemicordylus capensis (graceful crag lizard)
Lineage: Eukaryota; Metazoa; Chordata; Lepidosauria; Squamata; Cordylidae
Exons: 5
Source: RefSeq, a predicted model, not a curated record